RNAcentral lists this ribosomal RNA (254 nucleotides) under uncultured bacterium. RNAcentral describes it as "partial 16S ribosomal RNA". It matches the Rfam family "Bacterial small subunit ribosomal RNA", at positions 524 to 776 of the family's 1533-position model. The record is from RNAcentral.
UACGAAGGUUGCGAGCGUUGUUCGGAAUCACUGGGCUUAAAGCGCAUGUAGGCGGCCCAUCAAGUGCCUUGUGAAAUCCCCCGGCUCAACCGGGGAAUGGCUUGGCAGACUGUUCGGGCUUGAGGCAGGUAGGGGCGCGUUGAACUCUUGGUGGAGCGGUGGAAUGCGUAGAUAUCAAGAGGAACGCCGGUGGCGAAAGCGGCGCGCUGGGCUGGUCCUGACGCUGAGAUGCGAAAGCCAGGGGAGCAAACGGG